AUACGGAGGGUGCAAGCGUUACUCGGAAUCACUGGGCGUAAAGCGCGCGCAGGCGGCUAUUUAAGUUGGAUGUGAAAGCCUACGGCUCAACCGUAGAACUGCAUCCAAAACUAUUUAGCUAGAGUGUGGGAGAGGAAGAUGGAAUUAGUUGUGUAGGGGUAAAAUCCGUAGAGAUAACUAGGAAUACCAAAAGCGAAGGCAAUCUGCUGGAACACUACUGACGCUGAGGCGCGAAAGCGUGGGGAGCAAACAGGAUUAGAAACCCUAGUAGUCC
Molecule: ribosomal RNA, 274 nt
Filed under: uncultured bacterium
Lineage: Bacteria
Description: partial 16S ribosomal RNA
Rfam family: Bacterial small subunit ribosomal RNA
Source: RNAcentral